AAUCAACGCUGGCGGCGUGCCUCAGACAUGCAAGUCGAACGCGAAAGGCUCCUUCGGGGGCCGAGUAGAGUGGCGCACGGGUGAGUAACACGUGGAUAAUUUGCCUUCGGGUGGGGAAUAACAACCGGAAACGGUUGCUAAUACCGCAUAAUGCAGCGGCAUCUAUGAUGACAGUUGUUAAAGCGGGGGAUCGUAAGACCUCGCGCCUGAAGAGAAGUCCGCGGCAGAUUAGCUAGUUGGUAGGGUAAUGGCCUACCAAGGCGACGAUCUGUAGCCGGCCUGAGAGGGCGGUCGGCCACACUGACACUGACAUACGGGUCAGACUCCUACGGGAGGCAGCAGUCGGGAAUUUUGGGCAAUGGGCGAAAGCCUGACCCAGCAACGCCGCGUGAAGGAUGUAAGUUUUUCGG
Molecule: ribosomal RNA, 410 nt
Filed under: uncultured bacterium
Lineage: Bacteria
Description: bacterial SSU rRNA
Rfam family: Bacterial small subunit ribosomal RNA
Source: RNAcentral